GAUGAACGCUGGCGGCGUGCUUAACACAUGCAAGUCGAACGAAGCACUUCAUAAAGCUUGCUUUAAGAAGUGACUUAGUGGCGGACGGGUGAGUAACGCGUGGGUAACCUGCCUUACACAGGGGGAUAACAGUUAGAAAUGACUGCUAAUACCGCAUAAAACAGCAGAGUCGCAUGACUCAACUGUCAAAGAUUUAUCGGUGUAAGAUGGACCCGCGUCUGAUUAGCUUGUUGGUGGGGUAACGGCCUACCAAGGCGACGAUCAGUAGCCGGCCUGAGAGGGUGAACGGCCACAUUGGGACUGAGACACGGCCCAAACUCCUACGGGAGGCAGCAGUGGGGAAUAUUGCACAAUGGGCGAAAGCCUGAUGCAGCGACGCCGCGUGAGCGAAGAAGUAUUUCGGUAUGUAAAGCUCUAUCAGCAGGGAAGAUAAUGACGGUACCUGACUAAGAAGCACC
This 458-nucleotide ribosomal RNA is filed under the name uncultured bacterium. Its description in RNAcentral is "bacterial SSU rRNA". It matches the Rfam family "Bacterial small subunit ribosomal RNA", at positions 28 to 494 of the family's 1533-position model. The record is from RNAcentral.